This 703-nucleotide long non-coding RNA is filed under the name Drosophila guanche. The record is from RNAcentral. Lineage: Eukaryota; Metazoa; Arthropoda; Insecta; Diptera; Drosophilidae.
GAAUUCGUCUGCCAAAACCAUCAUCGACUCCAAAUCGCGGCAUCUAUGCGGUCGCAUGUACGCCCUCAGAUCCGGCAUGCUAUUCUCCCUUAUUAGUUCCGUUUGCUCUUCCUGUGGACACUUCAGGGGCCUCAUGAGAGUCUGCAUCUCCACCAUGUAAUCUUUGAAUGGCUCUCCCCACCUCUGCUUCCGCAUCCUCACCUCCUGCAGCAGCUUCUCAAAACAUCCUCUUGGCAAGAAAUACGCUUGGAAGCUGCUGGAGAAGUCUUUCCACGUCUUCCAUUGCCGAUUGUUGGCCACGAACCACAUCAGUGCCCGCCCCUUCAGGAGCUCCGGCAUCGCUCUUGGGAUCAGGUCCGGAUCCAGCCCGUACGUCUCGGCGGACCACUCGACCUGCUCCAAGAACUCGAGAGGCUUCGUCGUUCCGUCGAACCGAAAUGACCACUCUCUCACCUGCUUGGCCACCUUAGCGUAGUCCAGGGGUGCCGGCCGUGGGCCUUGUGGCUCAUGGAACCCCCUUUCCGGGUCUCGGCUUCUGUCUCGGCUUGCCUGUCGAUGCCGGCUGGGUGUCGGAGUGACCGACCGCUCGGGCACCGCCAGGCUCGCGAUGAGCUCCUGCUGAAACUCAGCCGGGGACUUCCAUAGCGCCGCCGCCGCCUUCCCUUGAGGUAGAGCGAGUUGCUCAUACGUGGCCGGCUUGGCG